CGAUGCAACGCGAAAAACCUUACCCACCUUUGACAUGUACGGAAUCCUUUAGAGAUAGAGGAGUGCUCGAAAGAGAGCCGUAACACAGGUGCUGCAUGGCUGUCGUCAGCUCGUGUCGUGAGAUGUUGGGUUAAGUCCCGCAACGAGCGCAACCCUUGCCAUUAGUUGCUACAUUUAGUUGAGCACUCUAAUGGGACUGCCGGUGACAAACCGGAGGAAGGUGGGGAUGACGUCAAGUCCUCAUGGCCCUUAUAGGUGGGGCUACACACGUCAUACAAUGGCUGGUACAAAGGGUUGCCAACCCGCGAGGGGGAGCUAAUCCCAUAAAGCCAGUCGUAGUCCGGAUCGCAGUCUGCAACUCGACUGCGUGAAGUCGGAAUCGCUAGUAAUCGUGGAUCAGAAUGUCACGGUGAAUACGUUCCCGGGUCUUGUACACACCGCCCGUCACACCAUGGGAGCGGGUCUCGCCAGAAGUAGGUAGCCUAACCGCAAGGAGGGCGCUUACCACGGCGGGGUUCGUGACUGGGGUGAAGUCGUAACAAGGUAGCCGUAUCGGAAGG
Molecule: ribosomal RNA, 560 nt
Filed under: uncultured bacterium
Lineage: Bacteria
Description: bacterial SSU rRNA
Rfam family: Bacterial small subunit ribosomal RNA
Source: RNAcentral